CCCUUAGAUGUCCUGGGCCGCACGCGCGCUACACUGAUGCAUUCAACGAGUUUUACCUUGGCCGAGAGGCCUGGGCAAUCUUUUAAACCUGCAUCGUGAUAGGGAUAGAUUAUUGCAAUUAUUAAUCUUGAACGAGGAAUUCCUAGUAAACGCAGAUCAUCAAUCUGCAUUGAUUACGUCCCUGCCCUUUGUACACACCGCCCGUCGCACCUACCGAUUGAAUGGUCCGGUGAAGCCUCGGGAUUGUGGCCAGUUCACUUUAUUGGGAGUUGGUUGCGAGAACUUGUCUAAACCUUAUCAUUUAGAGGAAGGUGAAGUCGUAACA
This 325-nucleotide ribosomal RNA is filed under the name uncultured eukaryote. RNAcentral describes it as "partial 18S ribosomal RNA". It matches the Rfam family "Eukaryotic small subunit ribosomal RNA", at positions 1470 to 1796 of the family's 1831-position model. The record is from RNAcentral.